AUUGAACGCUGGCGGCAGGCCUAACACAUGCAAGUCGAGCGGAUGAAGGGAGCUUGCUCCUGGAUUCAGCGGCGGACGGGUGAGUAAUGCCUAGGAAUCUGCCUGGUAGUGGGGGAUAACGUCCGGAAACGGGCGCUAAUACCGCAUACGUCCUGAGGGAGAAAGUGGGGGAUCUUCGGACCUCACGCUAUCAGAUGAGCCUAGGUCGGAUUAGCUAGUUGGUGGGGUAAAGGCCUACCAAGGCGACGAUCCGUAACUGGUCUGAGAGGAUGAUCAGUCAAACUGGAACUGAGACACGGUCCAGACUCCUACGGGAGGUAGCAGUGGGGAAUAUUGGACAAUGGGCGAAAGCCUGAUCCAGCCAUGCCGCGUGUGUGAAGAAGGUCUUCGGAUUGUAAAGCACUUUAAGUUGGGAGGAAGGGCAGUAAGUUAAUACCUUGCUGUUUUGACGUUACCAACAGAAUAAGCACCGGCUAACUUCGUG
This 484-nucleotide ribosomal RNA is filed under the name uncultured bacterium. RNAcentral describes it as "partial 16S ribosomal RNA". It matches the Rfam family "Bacterial small subunit ribosomal RNA", at positions 30 to 507 of the family's 1533-position model. The record is from RNAcentral.